UUUGCGCUCUCCCCUUGGGCGGUGCCCUCUCUCUCUCCCCCCAACAUGGACACGAAGGGUAAGGGUUCAUCCCUGAUUCCCUCCUUAGCCGGAUGAACCAGUAUGGGGAUAUCGAUGAUGGCCAGAACACGCUUGGUUAUGUCCUAGCGCUCACAGUCGACAACUUCUUUGGGUGUUGCCUCAAGACGCUUGUGCUAAGGUCGGAGAUGGCUACGUUGAACAGGAAAAAGGAUCUGGAGUUUUUGUGCAUCAUUGGAUUCGCACUCUCCCCUUGAGCGGUGCUCCCUCUCCUUUUCCCUCAUUGGUUCUUCCCAAAUGCCUUCCUCAGGUGGAUGAGCCAGUACGUGCUCACAGUCGAUAACUUUCUGUGAGCGUCGCCUCCUGACGCUCAUGUUAAAUCCUGGGAUGGCUACGUCGAACGGGAGAAAGGAUAUGGCGCUUUUGUGCAUCAACGGAUUCAGACUGUCUGCCCUUGAGCGGUGCUCCCUUUCUUUUUCCCCCAUUGGUUCUUCCUUAAUGCGUUCCUUAAACGGAUGAGCCAGUACGUGAUCACAGUCGAUAACUUCUUUGUCUCCAGACGCUCAUGUUAAAGUCGGGGAUGGCUACCUCAAACAGGAGAAAAAGCACCUCACUGUCAGUUAACAAUAUUCUUGCAUGUUGUGGGUCUAUGUGUGGAGGUGGCUGUGAUGGAGGCUGACCUAUCAAUGGCUGUCAAUACUUUGUCCAAAAUGGCGUCGUCACAGAAGAGGGACCUUUCUGUUUCCUAGAGGGGAAUUAAUUUUGAUGGAGUUUUUUCGUGCAAACAUGCUUCUGGACAGCAAUAUGAAGAAUGCAAUGAUAUAGCUACCAAAGGUGAAUGGUGGUUGUUGGAUUGAUCGUGCGCGCUUUUGCUGUGAAGGAUAUCUCAGGAACCUCAAAAGCAUUGCUGAAUGAUCAGGACCGGUGUAAAAUCUUGUCUUUAAAAGCAGAUUUUCCAAUGAUAAAGGGCGUUUGUCGUUCUCGACUUCAGAUUUC
Nymphaea colorata (pocket water lily) is the source of this 1014-nucleotide long non-coding RNA. RefSeq lists it as uncharacterized. The transcript has 6 exons. NCBI's taxonomy places the organism in Eukaryota, Viridiplantae, Streptophyta, Magnoliopsida, Nymphaeales, Nymphaeaceae. The record is from RefSeq and is a predicted model, not a curated record.